GUUGCCAAGGCAGACAAAGCACAAGUCUGGUCAUCAUAUUGUUUGUUUUACUGGUUUAGUUUGUUUGAGUAUCUUGAUUCUGUCGACACCAUUUUUAGGGGAAAGACUGUUCAGCUGGAGUACACUGAUGCGAAAGAGAGCCUCCUGCAAGCUGCUCGUAAAGCUCCUGUUGGAGCCCUUGGCUUCGAAGUUCAACGCAACAAAUGUGCCAUCAUAGUUCGAUUGUUAUUGAGGGAAAUACCAGAGAAAACUGUCUUCAAGCAAAAAGGCAUGGAAACAGUUUUGAGGCCAUAAAUUGAGCUUGCAAAAGUGAGUCUGACUCUUCAAACUUGCAAGGCUGUUCGUAUAAGUGAUUUGGAGUUGUUUAGGAAUGUCGUGGAUAAGUUUGCAAGUACUUUCAGCUCAGACAGGACUCCUAAUCUGAUUGUGAGGUUGCGAUUUAAUGUCAUGAGGACAGGGCUUGACAAUAUUAGCAUCUCUUUCUUAUUCUCACAUUUCACUGUUGAUGUUGCUCACAAACUGAGGUUGGACUCACGGAACCCUGUGGCGGUUGUUACCGAGACAGUACCAUAUCUGUAAAAACUGGUAUCCCAAAGUGAUCUGUUAUCAGAAUUUUAGUCUCCAAAUGUCUGUU
Molecule: long non-coding RNA, 634 nt
Organism: Papaver somniferum (opium poppy)
Lineage: Eukaryota; Viridiplantae; Streptophyta; Magnoliopsida; Ranunculales; Papaveraceae
Exons: 3
Source: RefSeq, a predicted model, not a curated record